AAGUCGUAACAAGGUAUCUGUAGGUGAACCUGCAGAUGGAUCAUUUCGAUGAAAAACCUUUUUUCUGAGGUGUGGCUCGCACCUGUCCAACUAAACUUGAGCUACCUUUUUAUACACGGUUGCAUCGGUCGGCCUGUCCAACAGUGCGGGAAUGUAUUUUCCGGCGCUGAGCAGACGAGUCGGCACUUUACACAAACACUUUUGAUAAUCUAGGAUUUGAAUGAAAGUUCAUUUUUAUGAUGGAUCCGACUGGUAAUGCGGUCGUCUAAAUCUAAAAAACAACUUUUGGCAACGGAUCUCUUGGUUCUC
RNAcentral lists this unclassified non-coding RNA (309 nucleotides) under air metagenome. Its description in RNAcentral is "partial contains small subunit ribosomal RNA, internal transcribed spacer 1, and 5.8S ribosomal RNA". The stretch from base 1 to 46 matches the Rfam family "Eukaryotic small subunit ribosomal RNA", at positions 1786 to 1831 of the family's 1831-position model. The record is from RNAcentral.